This 603-nucleotide ribosomal RNA is filed under the name Daphnia magna. RNAcentral's name for it is "partial 12S ribosomal RNA". The record is from RNAcentral. Lineage: Eukaryota; Metazoa; Arthropoda; Branchiopoda; Diplostraca; Daphniidae.
UAUGCACUUUCCAGUACAUCUACUUUGUUACGACUUAUCUCCUCUUAAAAGGAGAGUGACGGGCGAUAUGUACACAUUCUAUUGCCUUGUUCAGUUUAUUUUCCUAAAAUAAACUUACUAACAAAUCCACCUUCACCCAAAUUAUAAUUUAAGAUCCGUAUUUUUUUAAAAAACUGUAGCUCACCAUUUCCUUCACAUAAACUGCACCUUGACCUGAAGUAAAAAGAUUAAUUUUAUAGAAAACAUCCUUUUGGAGUAAUCUGACAACGGAGGUAUACAAGUUAAACAAAUGAAGGUAAGAUAAAACGAGGGUUAUCGAUUACAAGACAAGCUCCUCUGUUUGGUUAGAAUGCCGCCAAAACCUUUGGGUUUGAAGAACAACUUUUACUACCCUAUUACCUAUUGUAGAGAAUAACAGGGUAUCUAAUCCUGGUUUUUGGUCUCUAUUUUUUAUAUUCCUUCAAAUAAUUAAAGAUAAUUUACUUCUUUAUAUAAAUUUCACCUAAAAAAAGAAAAUAAUAUACUCAAAAUCAUUUACUGUUAAUUAAAAUAAUAGUUUACUCUAUUUAGAUUCUUCGUCUAACCGCGACGGCUGGCACGAUU